This is a non-coding RNA of Xyrichtys novacula (pearly razorfish), 698 nucleotides long. The record is from the annotation of a GenBank genome assembly. NCBI's taxonomy places the organism in Eukaryota, Metazoa, Chordata, Actinopteri, Labriformes, Labridae.
UGUUUGUUUUGGCGAGUUUGAAGGUAUUUUAGCAUGUGUAAUGGCAUGAAUGUGUUGAAUUAGUAAUCCCUUGUGUUAAGCCGUUGUUUUAGUGUUCUUUUGAUGAGUUUGGCUUGUUGUUAUGAAAAGUGUUUGUUUUGGCGAGUAUGAACGUUUUUGAGCAUGUGUAAUGGCAUGAAUGCGUUAAGCUGUUGUUUUAGUGUUCUUUUGAUGAGUUUGGCUUGUUGUUAUGAAAAGUGUUUGUUUUGGCGAGUUUGAACGUUUUUGAGCAUGUGUUAUGGCAUGAAUGCGUUAAGCUGUUGUUUUAGUGUUCUUUUGAUGAGUUUGGCUUGUUGUUAUGAACAUUGUUCGUUUUGGCCAGUUUGAACGUUUUUAGCAUGUGUAAUGGCAUGAAUGUGUUGAAUUAGUAAUCCCUUGUGUUAAGCUGUUGUUUUAGUGUUCUUUUGAUGAGUUUGGCUUGUUGUUAUGAAAAGUGUUUGUUUUGGCGAGUUUGAACGUUUUUGAGCAUGUGUGAUGGCAUGAAUGCGUUAAGCUGUUGUUUUAGUGUUCUUUUGAUGAGUUUGGCUUGUUGUUAUGAAAAGUGUUUGUUUUGGCGAGUUUGAAGGUUUUUGAGCAUGUGUAAUGGCAUGAAUGCGUUAAGAUGUUGUUUUAGUGUUCUUAUGAUGAGUUUGGCUUGUUGUUAUGAACAUUGUUCGUUU